MicroRNA precursor from Oryza sativa Japonica Group (Japanese rice), 202 nucleotides. It matches the Rfam family "MIR812 microRNA precursor family". The record is from Rfam. NCBI's taxonomy places the organism in Eukaryota, Viridiplantae, Streptophyta, Magnoliopsida, Poales, Poaceae.
UAUAAGUGCAGAUGUAGGUUUCCGUGUCCAACAUGUAACUGUCCGUCUUAUUUAAAAAAAUAUUUAUGAUUAGUAUUUUUGUUGCUAUUACAUGAUAAAACAUGAAUUUAUGUGUGACUAAUUUUUUUUAUUUUUUUCAUAAUUUUUUUAAAUAAGACGAACGGUUAAAUGUUGUAUACGGAAACCCACAACUGUACUUAUA